GGGCUUGCUCUUCAAUACAUAAGUGAUGGGUUAGGAGUGAUGCUUGCGGCGAGACGGUUGCUCAGCUGUCGGCGAUGCUCUGUAAUGAAGGUGAGGAAGUCCCUUUUAUAAAAUAAGGGGUCGCUCCUUAAUAUAUAAGUAAUGGGUGCUCUCUAAUGAAAGUGAAGGAGUCCCUUUUAUAGAAUAAGGUCUCGCUCCUCAAUA
This 204-nucleotide long non-coding RNA is filed under the name Malus domestica (apple). RNAcentral's name for it is "long non-coding RNA (MDOM_LNC015509)". Lineage: Eukaryota; Viridiplantae; Streptophyta; Magnoliopsida; Rosales; Rosaceae. The record is from RNAcentral.